AAAAUUUUAGUUUAAAGAAAAUAUUUCAUUUACAGUGAAAAGUUUUAUUAAUUAAUAAAAAUUUUA
Molecule: transfer RNA, 66 nt
Filed under: Chrysis iris
Lineage: Eukaryota; Metazoa; Arthropoda; Insecta; Hymenoptera; Chrysididae
Description: tRNA-Val
Source: RNAcentral